RNAcentral lists this ribosomal RNA (394 nucleotides) under uncultured bacterium. RNAcentral describes it as "partial 16S ribosomal RNA". It matches the Rfam family "Bacterial small subunit ribosomal RNA", at positions 523 to 918 of the family's 1533-position model. The record is from RNAcentral.
ACACGUAGGGGGCGAGCGUUAUCCGGAAUUACUGGGCGUAAAGAGUGCGUAGGUGGCUUUGCAAGCGUAGGGUAUAAGGCGACAGCCCAACUGUCGUUGGCCCCGCGAACUGUAAGGCUUGAGUACAGGAGGGGAAGGCGGAAUUCCUAGUGUAGCGGUGAAAUGCGUAGAUAUUAGGAGGAACACCAGUGGCGAAGGCGGCCUUCUGGACUGUAACUGACACUGAGGCACGAAAGCGUGGGUAGCAAACAGGAUUGGAUACCCUGGUAGUCCACGCCGUAAACGAUGAGCACUAGGUGUCGGGCUCGCAAGAGUUCGGUGCCGGAGCAAACGCAUUAAGUGCUCCGCCUGGGGAGUACGCACGCAAGUGUGAAACUCAAAUGAAUUGGCGGGG